This 546-nucleotide ribosomal RNA is filed under the name Fusarium oxysporum f. sp. ciceris. RNAcentral describes it as "eukaryotic LSU rRNA". The stretch from base 179 to 332 matches the Rfam family "5.8S ribosomal RNA". Lineage: Eukaryota; Fungi; Ascomycota; Sordariomycetes; Hypocreales; Nectriaceae. The record is from RNAcentral.
CCGUAGGUGAACCUGCGGAGGGAUCAUUACCGAGUUUACAACUCCCAAACCCCUGUGAACAUACCUAUACGUUGCCUCGGCGGAUCAGCCCGCGCCCCGUAAAAAGGGACGGCCCGCCCGAGGACCCCUAAACUCUGUUUUUAGUGGAACUUCUGAGUAAAACAAACAAAUAAAUCAAAACUUUCAACAACGGAUCUCUUGGUUCUGGCAUCGAUGAAGAACGCAGCAAAAUGCGAUAAGUAAUGUGAAUUGCAGAAUUCAGUGAAUCAUCGAAUCUUUGAACGCACAUUGCGCCCGCCAGUAUUCUGGCGGGCAUGCCUGUUCGAGCGUCAUUUCAACCCUCAAGCUCAGCUUGGUGUUGGGACUCGCGGUAACCCGCGUUCCCCAAAUCGAUUGGCGGUCACGUCGAGCUUCCAUAGCGUAGUAAUCAUACACCUCGUUACUGGUAAUCGUCGCGGCCACGCCGUAAAACCCCAACUUCUGAAUGUUGACCUCGGAUCAGGUAGGAAUACCCGCUGAACUUAAGCAUAUCAAUAAGCGGAGGAA